ACCUAAGAGAUUAGGCGUUCCCUUCGGGGACGGAAUGACAGGUGGUGCAUGGUUGUCGUCAGCUCGUGUCGUGAGAUGUUGGGUUAAGUCCCGCAACGAGCGCAACCCUUAUUGUCAGUUGCCAGCAUUUAGUUGGGCACUCUGGCGAGACUGCCGGUGACAAACCGGAGGAAGGUGGGGAUGACGUCAAAUCAUCAUGCCCCUUAUGACCUGGGCUACACACGUGCUACAAUGGACGGUACAACGAGUCGCGAAACCGCGAGGUCAAGCUAAUCUCUUAAAGCCGUUCUCAGUUCGGAUUGUAGGCUGCAACUCGCCUACAUGAAGUUGGAAUCGCUAGUAAUCGUGGAUCAACAUGCCAACGGUGAAUACGUUCCCGGGUCUUGUACACACCGA
RNAcentral lists this ribosomal RNA (396 nucleotides) under uncultured bacterium. RNAcentral describes it as "bacterial SSU rRNA". It matches the Rfam family "Bacterial small subunit ribosomal RNA", at positions 997 to 1393 of the family's 1533-position model. The record is from RNAcentral.